UACGGAGGGAGCUAGCGUUGUUCGGAAUUACUGGGCGUAAAGCGCACGUAGGCGGCGAUUCAAGUCAGAGGUGAAAGCCCGGGGCUCAACCCCGGAACUCCCUUUGAAACUAGAUUGCUAGAAUCCUGGAGAGGUUAGUGGAAUUCCGAGUGUAGAGGUGAAAUUCGUAGAUAUUCGGAAGAACACCAGUGGCGAAGGCGACUAACUGGACAGGUAUUGACGCUGAGGUGCGAAAGCGUGGGGAGCAAACAGG
This 253-nucleotide ribosomal RNA is filed under the name uncultured bacterium. RNAcentral describes it as "partial 16S ribosomal RNA". It matches the Rfam family "Bacterial small subunit ribosomal RNA", at positions 524 to 776 of the family's 1533-position model. The record is from RNAcentral.